RNAcentral lists this ribosomal RNA (465 nucleotides) under uncultured bacterium. Its description in RNAcentral is "partial 16S ribosomal RNA". It matches the Rfam family "Bacterial small subunit ribosomal RNA", at positions 28 to 507 of the family's 1533-position model. The record is from RNAcentral.
GACGUACGCUGGCGGCGUGCUUAACACAUGCAAGUCGAACGGAAAGGCCCUGCUUGCAGGGUACUCGAGUGACGAACGGGUGAGUAACACGUGGGUGAUCUGCCCUGCACUUCGGGAUAAGCCUGGGAAACUGGGUCUAAUACCGGAUAGGAGCCAUUUUUAGUGUGAUGGUUGGAAAGUUUUUUCGGUGUAGGAUGAGCUCGCGGCCUAUCAGCUUGUUGGUGGGGUAAUGGCCUACCAAGGCGGCGACGGGUAGCCGGCCUGAGAGGGUGGACGGCCACAUUGGGACUGAGAUACGGCCCAGACUCCUACGGGAGGCAGCAGUGGGGAAUAUUGCACAAUGGGCGCAAGCCUGAUGCAGCGACGCCGCGUGGGGGAUGACGGCCUUCGGGUUGUAAACUCCUUUCGCUAGGGACGAAGCUUUUUGUGACGGUACCUAGAUAAGAAGCACCGGCUAACUACGUG